This 1129-nucleotide long non-coding RNA is filed under the name Homo sapiens (human). RNAcentral's name for it is "non-protein coding lnc-NR1I2-3:1". Lineage: Eukaryota; Metazoa; Chordata; Mammalia; Primates; Hominidae. The record is from RNAcentral.
AUGGCCUGGUGAGGCUGGGCAGAGAGAGGUUGGGGCAGCGACCAGGCGUGGUCUCCGCCAGUGGGCGGCCGCAGCUGCAAGGAACUCACUGAGGCCCUAGCCCCGCCACGGCUGCUCAGACGCAGGUUUGGCUUCUUCGCAAAAAUGUGGAUUCAGAAAAGCACCCAGGAAGGCUGAACCUCAAAGAUCAGACACAGGCACAAGUGGUGAAGCAUACAAGAGAAGUGCUUUGGUUCCUCCUGUGGAAGAAACGGCCUUUUAUCCUUCUUUGUAUCCUAUAGGGACUCUCAUAAAAUCUUUAUUUUUUACUGUUGGGUUUACAGGCUGUGCAUUUGGAUCAGCUACUAUUUGGCAAUAUGAAUCACUGAAAUCCAGGGUCCAGAGUUAUUUUGAUGAUAUAAAAGCUGACGGUUGGGAUAGCAUAAGAUCACAAAAAAGAGACUUCAGAAAGGAGAUUAACAAGUGGUAGAAUAACCUAAGCGAUGGCCACCAGACUAUGACAGGUUAUCACAGCUGCAAAUGAAUGUCUUUGUAUUCUGUUUAUAGAGAGUACCUUCUCUGCAGCGGACAAUGAUCAGAUAUUUCGCAUCUAAUCCAGCCUCAAAAGCCCUUUCUUUUCCAAUGUUGCUGUCAACAUUCAGUCAUUUCUCCUUAUUUCACAUGGCAGCAAAUAUCUUAUGUUUUGUGGAGCUUCGCCUCCAGCACAGUGAACAUUCUGGAUCAAGAGCAGUGUUAUUAUCUGCAGGUGUUAUUUCCAAUUGUGUCAGUUAUGUGUGUAAAGUUGCCACAGGAAGAUAGGGACCAUCACUUGGUGCAUCUGGCACCAUCAUGAUGGUCUUUGCAGCUGUCUGCACUAAGAUCCCAGAAGGGAGGCUUGCCAUUAUUUCCCUUCAGAUGUUCACAUUCAUAGCAGAGAAUGCCCUAAAAGCCAUUAUGGCCAUGGAUACAGCAGAAAUCUUCAUGGGAUGGAAAUUUUUUUAUCAUGCAGUGCAUCCUGGGGGAGCUCUCUUUGGAAUAUGGUAUGUUACUUAUGGUCAUUAACUGUUUUGGAAGAACAGGGAGCUUCUAGUGAAAAUCUGGCACGAAAUGAGGACUAAUGGCCCCCAAAAAAGGAGGUGGCUCUAAGUAA